CAGAGCUGAAGGCAGAUGCUUAACAACUGAGCCAGCCGCCCAGGCACCACUGAAAAUUUUUCUAUAUAUUUAUAUGGUAAAGAAAGUUCUGCCUUGUGAGGCUCUUACCAGAUAAAAGAUAACAUCUUCCCCCACUUGCUAAUUCAAGGCAAAACCAAUGUAAUUCCAUCUGUGACCAAACAGAUCGGACUAUACUGAGCUGAUAUAAUUCUAGCCAAAAUUAAAAAAAAAUGAUUAUGGUUUUUUCAGUUGUGGUCAACCUUAUCACAGGCCUUAUCACAGAUUUUAUUUAUUUGGCAGACAGAGAUCACAAGCGGAGAGGCAGUCAGAGAGAGGCGGAAGCAGGCUCCCUGCCGCAGAGAGCCCGACACGGCGCCCGAUCCCAGGACCCUGGAAUCAUGACCCGAGCUGAAGCAGAGGCCUCAACCCACCGAGCCACCCAGGCGCCCCAGGAAAUGUGUAUCUUAACAUCAAUGAAAUAUGAUAAUUUCUGGACAUCCGUAGAAGGUUUUGUUCUCUGUAAUAUUUCUAGUACUAUUUGAGAGUUAGCUUGCCACCUUCACAUCAAUGUGCA
Molecule: long non-coding RNA, 574 nt
Filed under: Mustela putorius furo (domestic ferret)
Lineage: Eukaryota; Metazoa; Chordata; Mammalia; Carnivora; Mustelidae
Description: lncRNA (ENSMPUG00000024214.1)
Source: RNAcentral